GGAUAGCUCAGUUGUUUAGAGCAUGAUGCUGAUAACACCAAGGUUGUAGGUUCAAUCCCUGUAUGGGACA
RNAcentral lists this transfer RNA (70 nucleotides) under Podarcis lilfordi (Lilford's wall lizard). Its description in RNAcentral is "tRNA.Ile". The stretch from base 4 to 62 matches the Rfam family "tRNA", at positions 8 to 63 of the family's 71-position model. From Rfam's summary of the family: Transfer RNA (tRNA) molecules are approximately 80 nucleotides in length. The record is from RNAcentral. Lineage: Eukaryota; Metazoa; Chordata; Lepidosauria; Squamata; Lacertidae.